GUCCUGGGGGUCCAUCAGAGGCUGUGACAAGAGAGUCUAGCCUGAUGAUGUGCCUUUCUAAAGGGCGAGGGCUUCUGGAGGCAGGAGGGAGAAUGGUUGGGGGGUGACAAUGAGGAGCAAGGAAGUCACCCACCUCCCCUUCAGGCCCCUUGGUACAAGGGUAGUGGGACAGAAAACAAACCCAACCCAAGACGGCUACAGUGGAAGCUUGCUCUCGGAAAGGAGCCAGGUUUUGGUUAAAGGGAGAAUAGGAAAGGAAUAUUUAAAGAAGCUGAUGAUAUUUACUUUCUAUGCCCAGCACUCAGCUGGACACUGAGACAGUGAACAAAAGAGUGAAAUAUCCUCCCUCCUGGGCCUUAUGUUCCACCUGGUGAGACAGAGUAAACAAGAUUGAAAAAGUCAAAUAUAUAGUCUAUUAGAUAGUGCUAAAUAUUAGGGGAAAAAAUAAAGCAGUGAAGAAAGAUCGAAGUGUCAGUAAUUGGGAGUUAAAACUAUAAUAGUUAGCUAAGACAGGCUCCCUGAGAAGAAGACAUUGAGUAAAGGCCUGAAGGAAAUUGGAAAGCUGACCAGAGACCUGGGGGUAAGAAGAACAGCAACUGCAAAGGCCCUGAGGUGACAGCAUGCCCACGAUGUCUGAGGAAGAGCGAGGAGGUGAUACUGAUGCUAAUGCUGCUGGUCGGGGACCAGUUUUGAGAACCACAGGAGAAGUGCAUUACAGUCAGUUUGCCCCGCAGAAUGGAGCACCCAUUUGUGCCUCAUGAUGGUGAAUUCACUGAAGGCCGCCAGCAUGGCUGUGUUUUUGUCUCUGUCAUGCUCAGCUGCACUGGAACCGGCACAGAGCAGGCAGGAACGACCAUGGAGAGAGGUCUGGCAUGACAAGGGGAACAAGGAGGAGCCCACCCCACCUCCAGGCCUGGAGCAGAGAAGCAGGAGUGAGCAGAGCCAUCACUUAGGGAGCCGCUGGGAAGCUGAGCUCUCAGGGAGAGUCAGGGUCCGUUCCCUCUGUAGUUCUCCACCCUAGCCUCAAAUGAGAAACACCUGGGGAAUUUGGAGACCACACCGGAGCCUGGACCCCACUAUCUGAGGUUUGAAUUUCAUUAGUCUGGUGAGGAGCCUGGACUUGGGUGUGUUCUUAAGCCCCUGACGUGAUUUGACUGUGCAGCUCGGGAGGGAGAGGGAGACGGUGAAGGGGACGCUGACAGGAGUCCAAGGAUGUGGGGGACUUUGCCGGUGAUUGGCCUGGGGUCCAGAGGGAAAAUGGCAGGCUUCAGGACAUGGGACCAGACUAGGGGAGGAUGGUGGGCAUGAGGAUGAAGUCUGGGGGAGUGGGGAGACCUGGCAGACCUGGGCUGAAAGAGGGGUCAAGUGCCUGCCUGUGGUCUCAAGGCACAUCGUGGUGGUGAGGCUCGGAGUGUUGGGUGUUGGGGAGAGGGAGGGAUGGGGUCUCGCCUGGAGCACAGAGAGGGCAGUGGCCCCUCUUUACCUGGCAGUGGCAGAGGCUGGAAGAGGGGGAGGGGAUCCGAGUGGAACACCUUGAAUUUGAGGCUCCGCCCUGGCUCCUAGCUUCCUCUUCUCCGCGUCCGAUCCGUCAGCAAGUCAGUAGGCUCUGCAGAGACUGAGACAAAGGUCUGGGUGCAGGUAGCUUAUUUGGAAGGUGUUGCCAGAAGGUGGGGGUGAGGAGGCACCGAGAGUGAGAUGGGGAGGGCACAAAGUCCAUGUAAGGGUGUUGUCAGCCUCACUGCUGUAGGGGAGGGGCUGCAUCCCACAGGACCUCUGGGAAGCAUUCAGAAUACCUGGCGGGGUUGUCUUGCCAAAGAUGGGAGGCCGAAGCCUUUAUCCACUGGCUCCCAUCCCCACUGGUGGAGGCUGCUUCUGGGGCGUCAGUUCCCUGACCACCAGCCUGUGCUUGCCUGAGGGCCAAGGUAGUUCCAGCUGCAAGGCUGCACUGGAGAAGGCUCUGGAGCCAGAGGCAAGUCAGCACUUUUCAAGACAGCCGUGGCUAAACUCAGAGGUGGGCGAGAGGCUGC
RNAcentral lists this long non-coding RNA (2027 nucleotides) under Equus caballus (horse). RNAcentral describes it as "lncRNA (ENSECAG00000049152.1)". The record is from RNAcentral. Lineage: Eukaryota; Metazoa; Chordata; Mammalia; Perissodactyla; Equidae.